CCUGACUGCUAUCGGAUUGAUACUAAGCCAUGCGAGUCAUUGUAGUAAUACAAGGCAGACGGCUCAGUAACGCGUAGUCAACCUACCCUAUGGACGGGAAUAACCUCGGGAAACUGAGUAUAAUGCCCGAUAGAACACUAUACCUGGAAUGGUUUGUGUUCCAAAUGAUUUAUCGCCGUAGGAUGGGACUGCGGCCUAUCAGUUUGUUGGUGAGGUAAUGGCCCACCAAGACUAUUACAGGUACGGGCUCUGAGAGGAGUAGCCCGGAGAUGGGUACUGAGACACGGACCCAGGCCCUAUGGGGCGCAGCAGGCGAGAAAACUUUGCAAUGUGCGAAAGCACGACAAGGUUAAUCCGAGUGGUUUGUGCUAAACGAACCUUUUGACAGUCCUAGAAACACUGUUGAAUAAGGGGUGGGCAAGUUCUGGUGUCAGCCGCCGCGGUAAAACCAGCACCUCAAGUGGUCAGGAUGAUUAUUGGGCCUAAAGCAUCCGUAGCCGGCUCUGUAAGUUUUCGGUUAAAUCUGUACGCUCAACGUACAGGCUGCCGGGAAUACUGCAGAGCUAGGGAGUGGGAGAGGUAGACGGUACUCGGUAGGAAGGGGUAAAAUCCUUUGAUCUAUUGAUGACCACCUGUGGCGAAGGCGGUCUACCAGAACACGUCCGACGGUGAGGGAUGAAAGCUGGGGGAGCAAACCGGAUUAGAUACCCGGGUAGUCCCAGCUGUAAACUAUGCAAACUCAGUGAUGCAUUGGCUUGUGGCCAAUGCAGUGCUGCAGGGAAGCCGUUAAGUUUGCCGCCUGGGAAGUACGUACGCAAGUAUGAAACUUAAAGGAAUUGGCGGGGGAGCACCACAAGGGGUGAAGCCUGCGGUUC
This 875-nucleotide ribosomal RNA is filed under the name uncultured crenarchaeote. RNAcentral's name for it is "bacterial SSU rRNA". It matches the Rfam family "Archaeal small subunit ribosomal RNA", at positions 21 to 903 of the family's 1478-position model. Lineage: Archaea; Thermoproteati; Thermoproteota. The record is from RNAcentral.